UACGUAGGGGGCAAGCGUUGUCCGGAUUUAUUGGGCGUAAAGAGCGUGUAGGCGGCCUGAAAGGUCAGCUGUGAAAACUCGAGGCUCAACCUCGAGACGUCGGUUGAAACCAUCUGGCUAGAGUCCGGAAGAGGAGAGUGGAAUUCCUGGUGUAGCGGUGAAAUGCGCAGAUAUCAGGAGGAACACCAAUGGCGAAGGCAGCUCGCUGGAACGGUACUGACGCUGAGGCGCGAAAAGCGUGGGGAGCGAACAGG
RNAcentral lists this ribosomal RNA (254 nucleotides) under uncultured bacterium. Its description in RNAcentral is "partial 16S ribosomal RNA". It matches the Rfam family "Bacterial small subunit ribosomal RNA", at positions 524 to 776 of the family's 1533-position model. The record is from RNAcentral.